RNAcentral lists this ribosomal RNA (253 nucleotides) under uncultured bacterium. Its description in RNAcentral is "partial 16S ribosomal RNA". It matches the Rfam family "Bacterial small subunit ribosomal RNA", at positions 524 to 776 of the family's 1533-position model. The record is from RNAcentral.
UACGGGGGAUCCGAGCGUUAUCCGGAUUUAUUGGGUUUAAAGGGUGCGUAGGCGGUUUGAUAAGUUAGAGGUGAAAUGUCGGGGCUCAACCCCGAAACGGCCUCUAAUACUGUUGGACUAGAGAAUAGUUGCGGUAGGCGGAAUGUAUGGUGUAGCGGUGAAAUGCUUAGAGAUCAUACAGAACACCGAUUGCGAAGGCAGCUUACCAAACUAUAUCUGACGUUGAGGCACGAAAGCGUGGGUAGCAAACAGG